UACAGAGGGGGCAAGCGUUGUUCGGAAUUACUGGGCGUAAAGGGCGCGUAGGCGGCCUUCUAAGUCGAACGUGAAAUCCCCGGGCUCAACCCGGGAACUGCGUCCGAUACUGGAAGGCUUGAUCCGGGAGAGGGAUGCGGAAUUCCAGGUGUAGCGGUGAAAUGCGUAGAUAUCUGGAGGAACACCGGUGGCGAAGGCGGCAUCCUGGACCGGUAUUGACGCUGAGGCGCGAAAGCCAGGGGAGCAAACGGG
Molecule: ribosomal RNA, 252 nt
Filed under: uncultured bacterium
Lineage: Bacteria
Description: partial 16S ribosomal RNA
Rfam family: Bacterial small subunit ribosomal RNA
Source: RNAcentral